RNAcentral lists this unclassified non-coding RNA (336 nucleotides) under Nocardia carnea. RNAcentral's name for it is "16S-23S ribosomal RNA intergenic spacer region". The record is from RNAcentral. Lineage: Bacteria; Bacillati; Actinomycetota; Actinomycetes; Mycobacteriales; Nocardiaceae.
AAGGAGCAUUCUCCACGCCGGCCCCACAGUGGUGGGUGCGGGUUGUGGCAGAGCCACUUCGGAAACGAAUGUUUUCCGGUGGUUGCUCAUGGGUGGAACGCUGACAAUCUCCAUCGCGUACGGCCGAGGCUGUAGUUCUCGGUGCUGGUGGAUAUAUCAACACACUGUUGGGUCCUGAAAGAACAGGCGUUCUUUCCAGGCAAUAAACAUGAUCCGCUCGGAUCUCCGUUCAUACCGCGGGAGCUUCUUUUGGGAGUUGUCGGCUGGUGCGGGUGAAAGUUCCGGGUCGGGUGUGUUGUUUGAGAACUGCACAGUGGACGCGAGCAUCUUUGUUUU